GGACGAACGCUGGCGGCGUGCUUAACACAUGCAAGUCGAACGAGGUAGCAAUACCUAGUGGCGGACGGGUGAGUAACGCGUAGAUAAUCUGCCCCUCGGUGGGGGACACCCGGUCGAAAGACCGGCUAAUACCGCAUACGCUGGUCGGUUGAAAUACCGGUCAGGAAAGGUUUACUGCCGAGGGAUGAGUCUGCGUCCGAUUAGCUAGUUGGUGGGGUAAUGGCCCACCAAGGCGACGAUCGGUAGCUGGUCUGAGAGGACGAUCAGCCACACUGGAACUGAGACACGGUCCAGACUCCUACGGGAGGCAGCAGUGGGGAAUUUUCCGCAAUGGGCGAAAGCCUGACGGAGCAACGCCGCGUGGGUGAUGAAGUUUUUCGGAACGUAAAGCCCUUUCAGUCGGGAAGAAUCAAAUGACGGUACCGACAGAAGAAGCAUCGGCUAACUACGUGCCAGCAGCCGCGGUAAGACGUAGGAUGCAAGCGUUGUCCGGAUUUAUUGGGCGUAAAGCGUACGUAGGCGGCUUUCUAAGUCUGAGGUUAAAGACCGCGGCUCAACCGCGGGAGUGCCUCGGAUACUGGGAGGCUGGAGGGUGGCAGAGGAAGUCGGAAUUCCCAGUGUAGCGGUGAAAUGCGUAGAUAUUGGGAGGAACACCAGUGGCGAAAGCGGACUUCUGGGCCAUUCCUGACGCUGAGGUACGAAAGCCAGGGGAGCAAACGGGAUUAGAUACCCCGGUAGUCCUGGCCGUAAACGAUGGAUACUAGGUGUCGGAGGUAUAGACCCCUUCGGUGCCGGAGCUAACGCAGUAAGUAUCCCGCCUGGGGAGUACGGUCGCAAGGCUGAAACUCAAAG
This 852-nucleotide ribosomal RNA is filed under the name uncultured bacterium. RNAcentral describes it as "bacterial SSU rRNA". It matches the Rfam family "Bacterial small subunit ribosomal RNA", at positions 27 to 906 of the family's 1533-position model. The record is from RNAcentral.